This is a non-coding RNA of Paenibacillus sp. HGF7, 265 nucleotides long. It matches the Rfam family "Bacterial large signal recognition particle RNA". Rfam says of the family: The signal recognition particle (SRP) is a universally conserved ribonucleoprotein involved in the co-translational targeting of proteins to membranes. Lineage: Bacteria; Bacillati; Bacillota; Bacilli; Caryophanales; Paenibacillaceae. The record is from Rfam.
CCGUGCUAGACGGGGAGGUAGCGGUGCCCUGUUGCCCGCAAUCCGCUGUAGCGGGGUUGAAUCCCUGUUAGAGGUACUGUCGAUGUGAGGUCUGGCCUUUACACGUGGUGUUGAGAGUCGGGUCCUUCGCAAUGAGCACCAGUGAACCCGGUCAGGUCCGGAAGGAAGCAGCCGUAAGCAGGACCGCCCAUGUGCCGAGGGGUUGCCUAACUUGAGCUAACGAUAAAGGUACGUUCGUAUCGCUUUAUCAAUAACAGGUGCACGG